This 464-nucleotide ribosomal RNA is filed under the name uncultured bacterium. RNAcentral describes it as "bacterial SSU rRNA". It matches the Rfam family "Bacterial small subunit ribosomal RNA", at positions 40 to 507 of the family's 1533-position model. The record is from RNAcentral.
CGGCGUGCCUAACACAUGCAAGUCAACUUGACUGAAGGAGCAAUCUGACAGUAGAGUGGCGCAAGGGUGCGUAACGCGUAAGUAACUGCCCAAGUAGGAAUGACGUCGAGAAAUCGGCGCUAAUACCUCAUAAUGCAGCGGAUCCGCAUGGAUAUGUUGUUAAAGGUUUACCGCCUUGGGAUAGGCUUGCGUCUGAUUAGUUAGUUGGUGUGGUAACGGCACACCAAGGCUACGAUCAGUAACUGGUCUGAGAGGAUGAUCAGUCACACUGGAACUGAGACACGGUCCAGACUCCUACGGGAGGCAGCAGUGAGGAAUAUUGGGCAAUGCUCGAAAGAGUGACCCAGCAACGCCGCGUGGAGGAUGAAGGUAUUCUAUAUCGUAAACUCCUGUGAGAGCAGACGAAAGACAGAUUAUUAAUCUGGAUGACUGUAUGCUCAGAGGAAGCCCCGGCUAACUACGUG